ACGGUAUUAAAGCAGCAGAUAUCAAGGAGCAGGGCCGCAGCAGCAGUAGCUCAUCCAAAGCAAUAACAACGCAUGAAGGCAAGCCAUGGCAACUGAAGGAAGGCUGGAAUCUAGCAUACCCAUGGUCUUGUUCUUAUUAUUACAACACAGCGUGACUAAAAAUAUCAAACCAAACAAAAGAAAUUCCUGCAGGCAAGGGGUAAGAGAGGAGGCCGACCACUGCUGGAAAUGGAACUUAUUGUUCACCUAAGUAGUGCAGCGGGGAACAGAAAUCACAGAAGCAAAGGCCAAGAUCAACAGCAGGAGGAGCACUGGAAGUAACAACAAUGUUCCUGAACAAGGAGCACAGACUCCAGAAGGGCUGAGAACAGUCAGAAAAGGAGCUGCAAAACUUGCUGAUAGUUUGAAGGCAAGGAUGGGCUGACCGCAAAAGACUCACAUGUCUCAACUCAGAUAAAGUAUCAGGGAGGAUCUUUCAAAACAACUCCGUGUUGAUCUAAACUUACUUCAACUGAAGUCAACAAUCAAACUCCCUGUGAAAGAAGAAUCAGUGACUUUGAAAACGAUACUCACAAAGCCUUAUAGAAAAAUACUUCCAGUGUCUUUGAUCAUGUAAUUGAGAUUGGAGUUUAACAACAUUAAGAUUCGCAAGACUUCUUCUUGGACUUAAAUAUUGACUCCUACACUUAAUUACUGGCUAAAUAACUCCUAUGCUGCCUAAAGAACUGUACAGUUCACAGACUUCUUUUAUUUCAUCUCAACAACAGGACAAAUCAAACCAACCCUAUGUGGACUUCUUCACAUAACCAGAUGAGACAGCCCAGUUUGUAGCUCCUGAAUAUUUAAAUACUUUAAAUUGAGAAUUGGAAAAGGUACAGCUUAAGGUACAGUCAAGUUUUCAUAUUCAUACAUAAAAUGAACUGAUGAACUUUGGAAAAUCCAUACCCCCCAGCUUGUAUCAUCUUAGAUCCCAGAUUUUCUGCAUCUGACGUGAUUUGGCAUGGCUAAGUGCCAGUCCUUGGGAAAAACCACAAACUGCUUUGGAAAUGUUGCUGGUGAGGAAAGAAAUGUAACAUCACCAUGAAUUACCCUAAGAAACACGAGUCUAAACUUGUAUUAUAGCUUGAUCUCAUCGGCUCACUUUAAACCUGAAACUCCAUUAAAAGACCUCCUCAUGGAAACUGUUCUUAAACCUAAAGCUAAAACCUGUUAAUUCAGAUACUGCUUUAAAGAUUCUCAUUGUAACUCAAAAAAAAAAAAAAAAAAAACCAACAGAUUUCCAUUCAGUUUUGUUUCAAAACGUUCAAGUGUCCAUCUACAACAUAUCUGCCAUUGCGAGGCAAAAGAUGGCUGAGUGUCUCACCAUGCGCUUUUGCUAUCAGCAGUCCUCUCCUACCAACAGCCUCUGCACACUUUCAGGUUAUCUGCUCAUAAAACAGGUCUACAGAGACAACAGUCAGACCUCCUUUUUAAGAAGUGGUGUUUCGCAGAAAUGGUCGUUCUGAAUGGACCUUGCUGAGAUGCAAAGUUGCACGGAGCUCAGGAUGGGACCAGGCAGGCUGAGGAAAUAUCCUGGACGGGGUUCCACCGUCAGUUACAGCGCUAUAAAUCAAGAUGAACGCCACCAAGUUUAGUGCAAUGAUUUGAGAUUUAAAUCAUUUCAACAGGAAUUGGGUUCACAUAGUGAAAUUCUCCCCUAGGCGUAAACACAGAUAAUGGAGCGGGGUGUGCAGGGUGAGACUACUGCAAACCACUGCCAAGAGGGAAAGGAGUUUAGAAGGUUUUUGAGACCUCCUAAAAGAUUAUGUCCGGUAUGAAAACUACUGAGCGCAUGUGUUUAUGCGUGAUCCCGCGUAGCUGUACACAGCCACACUCCUGUCUAACCCAGGGGCAAGAGCAGAGGCUGUUAACCUUCCCUUAGCCUCAUGCCUGCCUCGAGGUCACCCUGCGAGCACCUCACCCCCAGGAUUUGGUUCCUGG
Molecule: long non-coding RNA, 1980 nt
Organism: Gallus gallus (chicken)
Lineage: Eukaryota; Metazoa; Chordata; Aves; Galliformes; Phasianidae
Source: Ensembl